This 274-nucleotide ribosomal RNA is filed under the name uncultured bacterium. Its description in RNAcentral is "partial 16S ribosomal RNA". It matches the Rfam family "Bacterial small subunit ribosomal RNA", at positions 523 to 796 of the family's 1533-position model. The record is from RNAcentral.
AUACGGAGGGUGCGAGCGUUAAUCGGAAUUACUGGGCGUAAAGCGUACGUAGGCGGUUGGUUAAGUUAGAUGUGAAAGCCCCGGGCUUAACCUGGGAACUGCAUUGAAAACUGGCGAACUAGAGUUGAGUAGAGGGGAGUGGAAUUUCAGGUGUAGCUGUGAACUGCGUAGAGAUCUGAAGGAACACCAGUGGCGAAGGCGACUCCCUGGACUCGAACUGACGCUGAGGUACGAAAGCGUGGGUAGCAAACGGGAUUAGAAACCCCUGUAGUCC